AGCUAAAGCACUUGAGGUAUGACCUUAAGGAAUCCUGUGUCAAUUAGUGUGAUGGUGACAGAUGACUGGGCAGAGUACGAAGCUUUAGGGGGCAGAAAAGGCAGCAAAGAUGAGGAGCUAUUGGCCCAAAGGACAUGAGCAGUGUCACUUUACCCAGCCACCCUUCCCUUUUCUUUAUCUGAAAUCUUUAAACAAAGAUCUAAGAAGUGGAAGCAGCCUUGGAGAGGAAGGCACUUUGAGGAGUUAUGUCUGCCAGGUGCCACAGAAACUAAAACUGUGCUUCAAACUUUCUGGGUGGGACUCACUGAUAGGAUGGCAGGUGACAGUGGGCAACUGACCACAAGGGGCGGAGUUAGAAAAGAAAUGUCAUUCUUGACUAAGAUGGUUGGAAAAUGGGUCAUAUCCAUAGUGAAGGGCACAAAGAAACCAAGAUGAUCGAACUAUGGACAAAUGGCUCUGAGUGCUGGGGCAGGGUUAGAAAAACUGGCAGGUUCAGGGGCAAACUCUUCAUUGGAGAAGCUGAAAGUGCUCAUAACUUUGGGGGACAUUUGGGGGGUUUCCAUGGUGACCAUAAGCCGCUACUCAUGCCUCUAUAAAUUCCUCUCAAAGGUUUGCUUGGAGAACACUAUUGCCGCAUCACGAUCAGGGGAAGGAAAAGCUUCUCGUUUUGAUGGGCCUGAGAGUUCAAACUCUUUUUCUUCCAGGUCAAAGUCAGCCCAGGACAGAAACUUCAUUAGCUGUCCUUCAGCUCUGAGAAGAAUCCCCGGAGGACUCAAUAUUUAUAGCUCGGGAUGCAUAGAGCUUCUCCAGAGGGAACGCACUGGGUAAUUUCAAGUCUCUGAGGCCUUUCUCCUUUCUGUCAGGCCACUAGAACACAGUGAAACUUGUCAGAGACACAUGAUGAUGUGUACUGAGGACAGAUAUGCCGAUCGGAGCAGAGGAGAGCGUGGGUUUAUACCAAGUGCAUUCGGCUUUGAUUUCUGCCGCUCCCCUAUCUGCUGACAGAACCUGAAACAAGAGACAAUCUUUCUUCAGCAAGCUGUGACAAUUUCGUAGCUUCACAGAUUCCAGGAAGAAGAAUUGUGACUCCUCCUAGGGCUGUUGAGAAGACGUGAUUCUGAAUAUAUCUGAGACAAAGACCACUUGCUCUUCCGAGCCGCUGCGAGACAGAGCCAGUGAUGAGGAGCGAAUGCUUGAUGAGGUCUCCUGGGCUCAGAUCAGGUCUUGGGUCCCUGUGUUCAGGGCAGAGGCUUCCCCAGAAAGGACAGGAGAGACACUGACAACUGGAGUUGGGGAGGAUGCAGGGAUAGAAGAAAAAAAGGCAAGCAAAAUGAGGAGUGGGUGGGCAAAGCCUCCUUCCUAGAGUCCUUCCUUUAAAAUUUCCCAUGGUCUGAAACACCGAAGAGUGUUUCGUGUACCCAGACCCUUCAUAAAUCCCAACAAAGAGCCCUGGAUCCCAGAGAUGGCAGGAGGCAAAGAUUUGGGCUUUAAAAGGUGGUAACUGGUGAUAGAGGAAAGCCAUUGGCAGUGCUGUGGUCCCUCAGUUGGUGUUCCGAACAGUGCAGUUUCUAUGGUGUAGAGUAGAUAAUUACUAUAUCAAAUGCUACUAUGCUCUCUUAGCCCGUAUGAGAUGCGUAGGAGUCUGAUUCCGAUCAAACCAGGACUGCAGGAACACAGUGCCCUUGGGGAGGAACUGAUAGUUCAGAGGUGUUGGUGUUUCCUGAGAGAGGGACCACUGAGAAACAGACCCCACAGAGAUUCCUCAUAUCCUCUUAUCAUGCCCUGACUUGGGCAGUCUUAUGUACCUUGUACGUGCAUUAGUGUAAG
Alexandromys fortis (reed vole) is the source of this 1827-nucleotide long non-coding RNA. RefSeq lists it as uncharacterized. NCBI's taxonomy places the organism in Eukaryota, Metazoa, Chordata, Mammalia, Rodentia, Cricetidae. The record is from RefSeq and is a predicted model, not a curated record. The transcript has 3 exons.